This 497-nucleotide ribosomal RNA is filed under the name uncultured bacterium. Its description in RNAcentral is "partial 16S ribosomal RNA". It matches the Rfam family "Bacterial small subunit ribosomal RNA", at positions 28 to 507 of the family's 1533-position model. The record is from RNAcentral.
GAUGAACGCUGGCGGCGUGCCUAAUACAUGCAAGUCGAGCGAACAGACGAGGAGCUUGCUCCUCAGACGUUAGCGGCGGACGGGUGAGUAACACGUGGAUAACCUACCUAUAAGACUGGGAUAACUUCGGGAAACCGGAGCUAAUACCGGAUAAUAUAUUGAACCGCAUGGUUCAAUAGUGAAAGACGGUUUUGCUGUCACUUAUAGAUGGAUCCGCGCCGCAUUAGCUAGUUGGUAAGGUAACGGCUUACCAAGGCAACGAUGCGUAGCCGACCUGAGAGGGUGAUCGGCCACACUGGAACUGAGACACGGUCCAGACUCCUACGGGAGGCAGCAGUAGGGAAUCUUCCGCAAUGGGCGAAAGCCUGGCGGAGCAACGCCGCGUGAGUGAUGAAGGUCUUCGGAUCGUAAAACUCUGUUAUUAGGGAAGAACAAAUGUGUAAGUAACUAUGCACGUCUUGACGGUACCUAAUCAGAAAGCCACGGCUAACUACGUG